CGCGUAGGCGGCAUGGCAAGCGGGAUGUGAAAGCCCUCGGCUCAACCGGGGAAGUGCAUUCCGAACUGCUUUGCUUGAGUUCGAGAGAGGGUGGUGGAAUUCCCGGUGGAACGGUGAAAUGUGUAGAUAUCGGGAGGAACAUCUGUGGCGAAGGCGGCCACCUGGCUCGAUACUGACGCUGAUGCGCGAAAGCGUGGGUAGCAAACA
RNAcentral lists this ribosomal RNA (207 nucleotides) under uncultured bacterium. RNAcentral's name for it is "partial 16S ribosomal RNA". It matches the Rfam family "Bacterial small subunit ribosomal RNA", at positions 568 to 774 of the family's 1533-position model. The record is from RNAcentral.